UGGGACGCAAGGGAACACACUGUGCUUGCACACCGUGUUUUCUUGAGUCGCGAACGGGUGAGUAACGCGUAGGUAACCUGCCUAUUAGCGGGGGAUAACUAUUGGAAACGAUAGCUAAUACCGCAUAAUAUUAAUUAUUGCAUGAUAAUUGAUUGAAAGAUGCAAGCGCAUCACUAGUAGAUGGACCUGCGUUGUAUUAGCUAGUUGGUAAGGUAAGAGCUUACCAAGGCGACGAUACAUAGCCGACCUGAGAGGGUGAUCGGCCACACUGGGACUGAGACACGGCCCAGACUCCUACGGGAGGCAGCAGUAGGGAAUCUUCGGCAAUGGACGAAAGUCUGACCGAGCAACGCCGCGUGAGUGAAGAAGGUUUUCGGAUCGUAAAGCUCUGUUGUAAGUCAAGAACGUGUGUGAGAGUGGAAAGUUCACACAGUGACGGUAGCUUACCAGAAAGGGACGGCUAACUAC
This 468-nucleotide ribosomal RNA is filed under the name uncultured bacterium. RNAcentral describes it as "bacterial SSU rRNA". It matches the Rfam family "Bacterial small subunit ribosomal RNA", at positions 49 to 504 of the family's 1533-position model. The record is from RNAcentral.